This 577-nucleotide ribosomal RNA is filed under the name Fictibacillus sp. A10. Its description in RNAcentral is "bacterial SSU rRNA". It matches the Rfam family "Bacterial small subunit ribosomal RNA", at positions 103 to 666 of the family's 1533-position model. The record is from RNAcentral. Lineage: Bacteria; Bacillati; Bacillota; Bacilli; Caryophanales; Fictibacillaceae.
CGGGUGAGUAACACGUGGGUAAUCUGCCUGUAAGACGGGGAUAACUCCGGGAAACCGGGGCUAAUACCGGAUAAUAAAAAGAAACGCAUGUUUCUUUUUUGAAAGUCGGUUUCGGCUGACACUUACAGAUGAGCCCGCGGCGCAUUAGCUAGUUGGUGAGGUAACGGCUCACCAAGGCGACGAUGCGUAGCCCACCUGAGAGGGUGAUCGGCCACACUGGGACUGAGACACGGCCCAGACUCCUACGGGAGGCAGCAGUAGGGAAUCUUCGGCAAUGGGCGAAAGCCUGACCGAGCAACGCCGCGUGAGCGAUGAAGGCCUUCGGGUCGUAAAGCUCUGUUGUUAGAGAAGAACAAGUACGAGAGUAACUGCUCGUACCUUGACGGUACCUAACCAGAAAGCCACGGCUAACUACGUGCCAGCAGCCGCGGUAAUACGUAGGUGGCAAGCGUUAUCCGGAAUUAUUGGGCGUAAAGCGCGCGCAGGCGGUCUCUUAAGUCUGAUGUGAAAGCCCACGGCUCAACCGUGGAGGGUCAUUGGAAACUGGGAGACUUGAGUGCAGGAGAGAGAAGUGGAA